UCCAUCAACACACAGACCCAGAAGACCCCUCGGUCUGCCCUGCUCCUGCCAUGAGUGUGGGCCUCCUGUGCUCAGUGGCCUUUUGUCUCCUGCAGGCAGGUCCAGUGAAUGCUGGCAUCACUCAAACCCCUAAAUUCCAGGUCCUGAGGACAGGAGAGAACAUGACACUGAGAUGUGCCCAAGAUAUGAGCCACAGGUCUAUGUACUGGUAUCGACAAGACCAGGGACAUGGGCUGAGGUUGAGCCACUACUCAGAUGCUGCUGAUUCCACUGAAAAAGGAGAUGUUCCCGAAGGGUACAAUGUCUCAAGACCAAAUACAAAGAACUUCCUUCUCGAGCUGGAGUCUGCUAUCCCCUCCCAGACAUCUGUGUACUUCUGUGCCAGCAGUUACUCCACAGUGCUGCACAGCUGA
Diceros bicornis minor is the source of this 413-nucleotide non-coding RNA. Lineage: Eukaryota; Metazoa; Chordata; Mammalia; Perissodactyla; Rhinocerotidae. The record is from the annotation of a RefSeq genome assembly.